This is a non-coding RNA of Paramuricea clavata, 593 nucleotides long. Lineage: Eukaryota; Metazoa; Cnidaria; Anthozoa; Malacalcyonacea; Plexauridae. The record is from the annotation of a GenBank genome assembly.
ACCCAUCCAAGUACUAACUUCGCCCGACCAGGCUUAACUUCGGUGAUCAGACGAGAACCGGUGUUUUCCGGGUGGUAUGGUCGUAGACAUUAGUCACACCCUAAUCAAUUCGAUUUCUAAGUAGCAUUUUGCCAAUGCGCGAAAUGGUUAUAGAAAUAUGCUGCGCUGAAUAUCAAAGUUAAUUUCCAGCGAAUCCGGUGGCGGCCUAGCAAAAGUGAAAGUCUACAACACGAAGUAUUCCCAGGCGGUCACCCAUCCAAGUACUAACUUCGCCCGACCAGGCUUAACUUCGGUGAUCAGACGAGAACCGGUGUUUUCCGGGUGGUAUGGUCGUAGACAUUAGUCACACCCUAAUCAAUUCGAUUUCUAAGUAGCAUUUUGCCAAUGCGCAAAAUGGUUAUAGAAAUAUGCUGCGCUGAAUAUCAAAGUUAAUUUCCAGCGAAUCCGGUGGCGGCCUAGCAAAAGUGAAAGUCUACAACACGAAGUAUUCCCAGGCGGUCACCCAUCCAAGUACUAACUUCGCCCGACCAGGCUUAACUUCGGUGAUCAGACGAGAACCGGUGUUUUCCGGGUGGUAUGGUCGUAGACAUUAG